CCUCUUUGAAAGCGCUUGGCAAGCACCUAUAUCCAGGGAGCCGGAGCGAUCCGGCUAUGGUGAUAAACGCCAUUCGGAAUAAGCGUUUCGGACCCGGGGGCAGUUCCCGGCGCCUCCACCAACUCUCUAUCCGCCAUUCGUCGGUUGUCGACGGACGUGCGGUGAGCAUGGGGGCGAAUCAGGAUCGACGAGCGUGGUAAAGGGAUGGUUUUUGCCCGGCAUGGUACCGCCGUUACCGGACCGUUUGUACAAGUGCCAACGACAACCGUAUGGCUCUCGCUGCCUAGUCUCUAGGUAAGCGCGGCUGGCAGGGGCCGGGCAACAGAAUCCUGCCAAA
Molecule: transfer-messenger RNA, 337 nt
Filed under: Geminicoccaceae bacterium
Lineage: Bacteria; Pseudomonadati; Pseudomonadota; Alphaproteobacteria; Geminicoccales; Geminicoccaceae
Rfam family: Alphaproteobacteria transfer-messenger RNA
About the family: Bacterial tmRNA, also known as 10Sa RNA or SsrA, is named for its dual tRNA and mRNA-like properties. Its role is to liberate the mRNA from a stalled ribosome.
Source: RNAcentral